Molecule: ribosomal RNA, 461 nt
Filed under: uncultured beta proteobacterium
Lineage: Bacteria; Pseudomonadati; Pseudomonadota; Betaproteobacteria
Description: bacterial SSU rRNA
Rfam family: Bacterial small subunit ribosomal RNA
Source: RNAcentral
AGGAAAGUAGGGGAUCGCAAGACCUUGCGCUUUUGGAGCGGCCGAUGUCUGAUUAGCUAGUUGGUGAGGUAAAGGCUUACCAAGGCGUCGAUCAGUAGCUGGUCUGAGAGGACGACCAGCCACACUGGGACUGAGACACGGCCCAGACUCCUACGGGAGGCAGCAGUGGGGAAUUUUGGACAAUGGGGGAAACCCUGAUCCAGCCAUGCCGCGUGAGUGAAGAAGGCCUUCGGGUUGUAAAGCUCUUUCAGCCGGAACGAAACGGUCACAGCUAAUACCUGUGACUACUGACGGUACCGGAAGAAGAAGCACCGGCUAACUACGUGCCAGCAGCCGCGGUAAUACGUAGGGUGCGAGCGUUAAUCGGAAUUAUUGGGCGUAAAGCGUGCGCAGGCGGUUUUGUAAGUCAGAUGUGAAAUCCCCGGGCUUAACCUGGGAACUGCGUUUGAAACUACAAGGCU